UACGAAGGGGACUAGCGUUGUUCGGAAUCACUGGGCGUAAAGCGCACGUAGGCGGAUGUGUCAGUCAGGGGUGAAAUCCCGGGGCUCAACCUCGGAACUGCCUUUGAUACUGCAAAUCUCGAGUCCGGAAGAGGUGAGUGGAAUUCCUAGUGUAGAGGUGAAAUUCGUAGAUAUUAGGAAGAACACCAGUGGCGAAGGCGGCUCACUGGUCCGGUACUGACGCUGAGGUGCGAAAGCGUGGGGAGCAAACAGG
This 253-nucleotide ribosomal RNA is filed under the name uncultured bacterium. RNAcentral's name for it is "partial 16S ribosomal RNA". It matches the Rfam family "Bacterial small subunit ribosomal RNA", at positions 524 to 776 of the family's 1533-position model. The record is from RNAcentral.